RNA transcript from Harpia harpyja (harpy eagle), 2282 nucleotides. It is a transcript of the gene named carboxypeptidase N subunit 1, with no coding region annotated. The transcript has 10 exons. Lineage: Eukaryota; Metazoa; Chordata; Aves; Accipitriformes; Accipitridae. The record is from RefSeq and is a predicted model, not a curated record.
GCUCGCCGGCGGGCGGGCGGGCGGGGGGAGCAUUCCUGCGCCGCGGGGCCCCGGCGCGCCCCGCUCCCGCCGCCCCCCGCCCGCAGGUGCAGGGGGCUGGCACUCGGAAACUGGAAAGAGCUGGUUGGAGUUUGCACUUUAAGCUCCCGACAGGGAGGGAGACGGGGGCUCGGAGCUGGUCUGGGCGCCCAGCGCCACGGGAGGAUGGCUCGGUGGCUGCGGUCCCUCGUGGGAGCCCUGCUCCUGCUCGAGGGGGCGGCCGCCCUCAGCUUUCUCCACCAUCGCUACGAGGAGAUGGUGCAGGCCCUGUUCCGCGUGCAGAGCCAGUGCCCCUACGUCACCCGCAUCUACAGCAUCGGCCGCAGCGUCGAGGGCCGACACCUCUACGUGCUGGAGUUCAGCGACUACCCAGGCAUCCACGAGCCCCUGGAGCCAGAGUUCAAGUAUGUCGGGAACAUGCAUGGGAACGAGGUGCUGGGCCGUGAGCUGCUGCUGCAGCUCUCUGAGUUCCUGUGUGAGGAGUACCGCCGGGGCAACGAGCGGAUCACCCACCUCAUCCAUGACACGCGCAUCCACAUCAUGCCGUCCAUGAACCCCGACGGGUACGAAGUCGCUGCCAAGCAGGGCCCAGACAGCAAUGGGUACUUGACGGGGAGGAACAACGCCAAUGGAGUGGACUUGAACCGUAACUUCCCUGACCUCAACACGUUCAUGUACUACAGUGGGGAAAUCAACGGGCGAAAUCACCAUAUCCCGCUGCCUGACAACUGGAAAAGCCAGGUGGAGCCGGAGACGUUGGCUGUGAUCCAGUGGAUCAGCAGCUACAACUUUGUGCUCUCGGCCAAUCUGCACGGUGGGGCGGUGGUGGCAAAUUACCCCUAUGACAAGUCUCAGGACCAGCGGUUCAGGAGCCACCGGCGCACAGUCAACACGCCUACCCCGGACGACAAGUUGUUUCAGAAGCUGGCCAAGACCUAUUCAUACGCCCAUGGCUGGAUGCAUCGUGGCUGGAACUGCGGGGACUACUUUGCCGAUGGCAUCACGAAUGGGGCAUCCUGGUACUCACUCAGCAAAGGCAUGCAGGACUUCAAUUACCUCUACACCAACUGCUUUGAAAUCACCCUGGAGCUGAGCUGCAAUAAGUUCCCCCCCGAGGAGGACCUGGAGCGGCAGUGGAUGGCCAACCGGGAGGCCCUUGUUGCUUUCAUUGAAGAGGUUCACCAGGGCAUCAAAGGGAUGGUGUCGGACGAGAACAACAAUGGCAUUGCAGGAGCAGUGAUUUCUGUCCAGGGAAUCAGCCAUGACAUCACCUCUGGUGAUAUGGGAGAUUAUUUCCGGCUGCUGCUGCCUGGCACUUACACUGUCACAGCCUCUGCAGAGGGGUACCAGCCCCAGACGGUGACAACAACGGUGGGCCCAGCUGCACCUUCAUUGGACGUGAUGAUGUGGAGACAGCAUCUGUUCCCUCAGGCUCCGUUAUCCCCCUGGCUCCGUGGGUUUCAGUGCUCUGCUACCAUCUGCAUCCUGCCUGGGACCAAACACGCUAUCAGACUCGUAGCAAGAGGCUGAAGUCUGCCUUUCUUUCUGCCGAGAGCACCCAAGACAGAUGGGAACUGGGUGCCAACAAAGAACAGCCAAGCACCUUUGGGAGAUGAAGUGCUCUUGACACCAGUGUGGUCCCUACAGCGCCUUUCUGAGGGCAGGCCGGACAACUAGAAGUUGGUUAUAAAAACAAUGGGUGGUGAUUCCUGCCCCUGCUGUUGCAUUAUGAACGUGGUGGGACUGCAGAUGCAGCCUCCUCUAAGGACCGGCAAGAACCCCCUGGCUGCGGCAUCCUGGCACAUCAUUUGUUUCACUGCAUGUACACUGGUCAGGCUCUGCCAUAAAUACACUGCGGUGGUUCUCCCACCCUCCCUCUCUUCAUCCCACCCUACCCAGCCUCUGAAGUUCUUCCAGAGCUGCCCUUUUCUCAGGAUUAGAAACCUUCUAAUUUUCGUCCUAAAUUUAUUUAUGGUGCAUUUCCAGCUCAAACAAGAUGUGGUGAGGAAGGCCCCGGAGCGUAAAGCCUCAGGCACACGCAUGAACAACAAAGCCCUUCAGAAGAAGGUAGUGCCAAGAGCCACCCGCCGGGGGACCCAAAGAUGAGGACGGCUCACUUGGCUGAGAGCUGGGGGGAAGCCCUUUAUACAAGGCCUGGCUGAUGACUCCAGCCAGUGAACUUUCCAACAGUCCAGCAUGAAACUAGCCCAAAUUAUUAGGUUAUUAAACAAGGAAGUAUUUAA